UAGUAUGUUGGAGUAGCCAUAUGUACUCUUAGGGGUUACAAUUUGGAUCCACGACAUGCGUGGGAAGUUGGACAAUACCAUUGGGCUCCACAUUCCUAAUAUCAAACUCAUUGGGUUGUGAACUUCUUGUGUUAAUUUUAAGCCGAUUGUUUAUUCCACAAUCAAAUGGAGAGAUCCAUCAGAAAAGUGUAUAUGCCUGAAGGUUUAAUGCUGUUUCUAAAAAAUUAUCGUUGUUACUUGUUAGUCCUUUGGGAUAUACGAGGUUUCGAGGUUUCUGAUUUUGCUGUUACGUGAGGUGUUUAAUACGUCAACUUUUGUUUUUACUGUCAUUUGUCCAUUCCUCUGCAGAUAUCAAUAACCAUAGUCGUGCAAAAGUUGUAUGCACACAGCUGUAAAUUUACUUGAUUUGGCUAGUAGUGCGUGUUAAUGAAAUGUAUAGUGGUUAUAUACGUGAAAUAGGUGGUGUUAAGCAACAGAGAAAUAGUAACAUAAGAUUAAGUAAGAAAUGCGGUGAGAGGACAAGAUAGGAAAGAUAUAAAAAUAAUUGUUGGCGUGCAAGGUUGAAAAUCAAUUUCAUUCAAGCUGCAAUAGAUGUUGAGGGCAUGUCAGAGUUUAAUCCCUUGUGCUUCACAAGAGUAAAUACACACAAUCACCGUAUAUAUUGAUUCAGGGUUUUGUUCUGGAGCAUUAUCUUCACCAUAUGGUAAGGUUCCUCGGCACACCGUACUUUCACUCAAUGGUUGCAAGAUCACUGGCAUCGCUAUCGGAUGUAUCUGUCAUUAUUGAUCCUGAAACCAUUCUCUUGCCUGACUUCAUCUCAGCUCUAAAUUAUGCUCACAAACUCGACCAUGAUUGGCUCCUUGUUUCUUCCUCAAGACAUGUCUCCUACUUCCCUUUUCACUUAGAUAAAGAUGGGAAACAUUGGCUGGGAGAGGAUGGCAAACAGAUUAAAACCAGAAAGUUGCAGGGGUUUCUUGAUAAGGCUUGGAAGUGGAAGCAUUGUGAAGAGAGGAUGCUUCUGGCUUGGAACAAUGGAGACCUUCCUUUACAUAGUGGAGUGCUUCCUCCUUUCUUGUUUGGAAAAGGGCUUCACAACAGCUGGGUUAUUAACGAGGCCUUAUCAUCUAAAUAUAGAUUUGUAUUUGAUGCAAGUUUGGCCAUCUCAAAUUUCUAUCUAAACCCUCUUGAUCAAGGGUCUUAUCAAUCGUUUGGAGUUUCCAAUGUUACGAAUAGUGGAAACAGAAGCUGGGAGAGUGUAGGAAAUUUGCAACUUGGGUCUCUGUAUGGAGCAUUAUAUUUCCAUGAAGCUAACUACUCUAACAUGGUUAAAUUUUGCAUGAACAAUGGGCAAUAUGUUUUCGUGAAUUCCGCAGAAGCUACUGCUUACCCAUUUGGAAACCAGAGGUCUUUGACCUUAAUGAAGGAAAAGAUCUUGGGAUCCAGGAAAGGGAAGAAAGUUGCAGAUUGUGUUAAUGGUUUCAAAUCACUACAUGGUACCAGGGACUGCUAUGUGAAGGACCAAUUGAAGCCCUCAAAUUCACUAUCUCUUCCUUACUCUUUAGAAAUGCUACUUUCUGGGCUUUCAGACAAGAAUAGAACAGUUGUUCUAGCAAUUGCCGGAUAUAAUUACAAGGAUAUGCUAAUGAGUUGGGUCUGCAGAUUAAAAAGUCUCCUCAUCUCAAAUUUUCUGGUUUGUGCUCUUGAUCCUGAAAUAUACGAGUUUGCUAUUUUACAGGGCCUACCUGUUUUCAAGGAUUCACUUGCUCCAACCAACAUCAGCUUUAAUGACUGCCACUUUGGAACGCAAUGCUUUCAAAGGGUGACCAAAGUGAAGUCUAGAUUGGUUCUGCAGAUACUGAAGCUGGGUUACAAUGUGCUUCUGAGUGACGUUGAUGUCUAUUGGUUUAAAAAUCCAUUGCCCUUUCUUUACUCUUUCGGGCCUUCGGUACUAGUGGCACAAUCUGAUGAAUACAACCAAACAGGACCCAUAAACGUACCUCGACGCUUAAAUUCUGGGUUCUACUUCGCUCGUAAUGAUGGCUCAACAGUCGCUGCACUGGAGAAGGUAGUGAAGCAUGCAGCGACGUCCAAUCUCUCAGAGCAGCCAAGUUUCUAUGACACAUUAUGUGGGGAAGGUGGAUCCAAUCGUGUGGGCGAUGACAGGUGCUUUGAACCUGAAACCAAUCUGACUGUCCAUUUUUUGGACAGAGACCUUUUUCCAAAUGGUGCAUACCAAGGUCUCUGGGAGGGAACAAAUCCAAAAGCGAUUUGCAAGAAGAAGGGCUGUUUCAUUCUCCACAACAACUGGAUCAGUGGUAGGAGGAAGAAGUUGGAGCGCCAGGUUUUGUCAGGCCUUUGGGAAUAUGAUGUUAACUCAAGGAUGUGUGUGCAAAGUUGGCAAAAGGCUAAAGUCACUAGUUAUUUCUGAAACUUGCAGAUGCUUCUUGUCUACUUGUUUAUUCACGUCAAGGAGAAAAAUACAAAGGAGUAGUAUUAUUCCUCAGAUGACAUCGCAUUUCUGAUAAUAUUUGGAUUUAUCACUGGUCUCAUCUAACAAAUCUUUAAAUAGGGAGCCGGCCAAGAUGUUUUUCAUAGGUAUAUGCUCAAAUAAUUUCGAAACGUCUUAAUCUAUGAUCGACUUCACAUCUUCCGGUGACAUGGGAUUUCAAUGCUACUGGUGAAAGCUAGGGGGGAAGAGGAGAAAGGAGAAAUAGUGAGGAUUCGGGGAAGAGAAAGAGAGAGGAGAAUAAGCAGAAGAAGAGACAAGCCAGAGCGAAACAACUGGAGUUGGGGUUGCUGGCUAUGCAGAAGAUAUGGGCUGUUUGUUCGGGUCAGUACAGUACAGCUACAGAGAAUCCAAAAGAAAGGAAAAGUAAGAAUAUGCUAUCAUUUUGGUGGACUGGAGUGUGCAAUUAAAGGGUGUCAGUGAGGAUAAUCCAUGCGGGAGGGCAUGGAGAGUGAUAUCAAAAUGCGGAUCCUGCAUCCGUGUGGAUGGAAAAAUAUCCAGGGAGGUGUGUAGCCAGAUCACAAGUCUUCAAACAAACCAAUGAAUCUCUUAUAUUGCCAGAAGAAAAGCUGUUGUGUAGACAAGAAUUCCAUUGACAAGUGUAUCUAAACUGGAGAGCAAGUUAGAAAACUGCAAGUGACAGAAUCUGCUGAGGGUGAAGAAGAGGUGUCGGAUGUGAGGGUUGUUGGAUGGAGGUGGUGAGUGUUUGGAGGAUUCAGUUUGUCCGACAAAGGACGUCUACGGGUCCAGAGAAAGUUGGACAAGGUGUUUGUCGAGAAAAUGCCAAAAGAGAAGAAGCCCUUUGUACCCCAAUCCAAAAGCCAAAAAUGUGAGGGGCACUGGAGUGGGAGCCCAGCCUAAAUUCCAUACAGGAGAUCUCUCCGUGAUUUGUUUGUCUGAGAUUUGCUCAAGUAAGUCUUUAGCUGUACUCUUUCAAAUCAUAUUCUACUUCUGGCAUUUGUUUAGACCCUCCGAAUGGAUGUGUAUGUUUUUCGGCUAAAUUUACUUCGGGGAUUAUUUCCAUUUUCACCUGUUCUUUGUCGGAUGAAAGAAAUUCUCCUGUAGUUUAGUGGGAUCCCAGAUUUUCGAGUAGUCCAAGUUGUUAUUGCUUAUACCAGAUGUGCGCAUCAAGAUUAUAUGAAGAAUACUGCUAUGCAUACAGAAGAUCAAUACUAAAAUGAUGUGAAUGACUUGCAGACAUAUCAUUUCGAACAA
RNA transcript from Rhododendron vialii, 3721 nucleotides. It is a transcript of the gene named beta-arabinofuranosyltransferase RAY1, with no coding region annotated. NCBI's taxonomy places the organism in Eukaryota, Viridiplantae, Streptophyta, Magnoliopsida, Ericales, Ericaceae. The record is from RefSeq and is a predicted model, not a curated record. The transcript is spliced from 6 exons.